UAGUCUAUGGUGGACAGACAGUAAAUGUGCGAGCACAAGUAGAGGUGCUAGCAAAAUCUUUAGUUCUUUCUUCGUCCUAAUCUUUAUCCAUUCCCAAAUUAUCGUUCUUCACAUUUUCGCUGCAUUAAUUUGUCUAACUUAAUCAUUUCUCCUAAUUCCCUUGAUUCCUCCCAAUUCUCAUUCAAUACCCCUCUUCGCCGCCAGCCUCCAGCCACCGAUCAAUUCUCUCCGCCGCCAACCACCAGCCAGUCGCUCUCUCUAAAAUUCAGGAACAACAGUUUCAGUGAAGAUCGCUAGAAAAAUUAUUUGAGAAGCAUAGAAGAACUGACCCCUGGUCUUGCAUAAGCUGGAGCUUUGGUCAAGAUUCUAUUUGCAUAGUCUACGACAGAAUAAUUUAGUUGAUAAAGAUUGAAGCAUUUGAUAGGGUGGGAGAGGUACAAGCAAUGCAAGAGCAAGUCACUAUCAAGGUGUGCGAGGACUUGGAGAAGCAAAAUGAGGCUUCGCCCAUCGAGUUGGAGAGGCAAAAUGCAGCAUCUCGCGCUGAGUUAGUGAGGCAAAAUGCGGAGUUGAGCGCAUAUUUUGAGAAAAAGUGAGAGGUUGUUAGAAAAGAUUAUGAACCUUGGUGAACAAGUUAACGAAAUGAGAAAAAGUGUAAAACAAUAUUAUUACUUUUAUGUAAUUUUUGAGUUUUUAUUA
Long non-coding RNA from Salvia hispanica, 696 nucleotides. RefSeq lists it as uncharacterized. NCBI's taxonomy places the organism in Eukaryota, Viridiplantae, Streptophyta, Magnoliopsida, Lamiales, Lamiaceae. The record is from RefSeq and is a predicted model, not a curated record.